UGUGAACUCGAAGAGUAGGGCGGGACACGUGGUAUCCUGUCUGAAUAUGGGGGGACCAUCCUCCAAGGCUAAAUACUCCUGACUGACCGAUAGUGAACCAGUACCGUGAGGGAAAGGCGAAAAGAACCCCGGCGAGGGGAGUGAAAAAGAACCUGAAACCGUGUACGUACAAGCAGUGGGAGCACCUUCGGGUGUGACUGCGUACCUUUUGUAUAAUGGGUCAGCGACUUAUAUUCUGUAGCAAGGUUAACCGUAUAGGGGAGCCGCAGGGAAACCGAGUCUUAACUGGGCGUUAAGUUGCAGGGUAUAGACCCGAAACCCGGUGAUCUAGCCAUGGGCAGGUUGAAGGUUGGGUAACACUAACUGGAGGACCGAACCGACUAAUGUUGAAAAAUUAGCGGAUGACUUGUGGCUGGGGGUGAAAGGCCAAUCAAACCGGGAGAUAGCUGGUUCUCCCCGAAAGCUAUUUAGGUAGCGCCUCGUGAACUCAUCUUCGGGGGUAGAGCACUGUUUCGGCUAGGGGGUCAUCCCGACUUACCAACCCGAUGCAAACUACGAAUACCGAAGAAUGUUAUCACGGGAGACACACGGCGGGUGCUAACGUCCGUCGUGAAGAGGGAAACAACCCAGACCGCCAGCUAAGGUCCCAAAGUCACAGUUAAGUGGGAAACGAUGUGGGAAGGCACAGACAGCCAGGAUGUUGGCUUAGAAGCAGCCAUCAUUUAAAGAAAGCGUAAUAGCUCACUGGUCGAGUCGGCCUGCGCGGAAGAUGUAACGGGGCUAAACUGUGCACCGAAGCUGCGGCAGCGACACUAUGUGUUGUUGGGUAGGGGAGCGUUCUGUAAGCCUGCGAAGGUGGCCUGUGAGGGUUGCUGGAGGUAUCAGAAGUGCGAAUGCUGACAUAAGUAACGAUAAUGCGGGUGAAAAGCCCGCACGCCGGAAGACCAAGGGUUCCUGUCCAACGUUAAUCGGGGCAGGGUGAGUCGACCCCUAAGGCGAGGCCGAAAGGCGUAGUCGAUGGGAAACAGGUUAAUAUUCCUGUACUUGGUGUUACUGCGAAGGGGGGACGGAGAAGGCUAUGUUAGCCGGGCGACGGUUGUCCCGGUUUAAGCAUGUAGGCGGAGGUUCCAGGUAAAUCCGGUACCUUUUUAACGCUGAGGUGUGAUGACGAGGCACUACGGUGCUGAAGUAACAAAUGCCCUGCUUCCAGGAAAAGCCUCUAAGCAUCAGGUAACAUCAAAUCGUACCCCAAACCGACACAGGUGGUCAGGUAGAGAAUACCAAGGCGCUUGAGAGAACUCGGGUGAAGGAACUAGGCAAAAUGGUGCCGUAACUUCGGGAGAAGGCACGCUGAUAUGUAGGUGAAGCCCCUGCGGGUGGAGCUGAAAUCAGUCGAAGAUACCAGCUGGCUGCAACUGUUUAUUAAAAACACAGCACUGUGCAAACACGAAAGUGGACGUAUACGGUGUGACGCCUGCCCGGUGCCGGAAGGUUAAUUGAUGGGGUUAUCCGUAAGGAGAAGCUCUUGAUCGAAGCCCCGGUAAACGGCGGCCGUAACUAUAACGGUCCUAAGGUAGCGAAAUUCCUUGUCGGGUAAGUUCCGACCUGCACGAAUGGCGUAAUGAUGGCCAGGCUGUCUCCACCCGAGACUCAGUGAAAUUGAACUCGCUGUGAAGAUGCAGUGUACCCGCGGCAAGACGGAAAGACCCCGUGAACCUUUACUAUAGCUUGACACUGAACAUUGAGCCUUGAUGUGUAGGAUAGGUGGGAGGCUUUGAAGCGUGGACGCCAGUCUGCGUGGAGCCAACCUUGAAAUACCACCCUUUAAUGUUUGAUGUUCUAACGUUGGCCCCUAAUCGGGGUUGCGGACAGUGUCUGGUGGGUAGUUUGACUGGGGCGGUCUCCUCCCAAAGAGUAACGGAGGAGCACGAAGGUUAGCUAAUCCUGGUCGGACAUCAGGAGGUUAGUGCAAUGGCAUAAGCUAGCUUGACUGCGAGCGUGACGGCGCGAGCAGGUGCGAAAGCAGGUCAUAGUGAUCCGGUGGUUCUGAAUGGAAGGGCCAUCGCUCAACGGAUAAAAGGUACUCCGGGGAUAACAGGCUGAUACCGCCCAAGAGUUCAUAUCGACGGCGGUGUUUGGCACCUCGAUGUCGGCUCAUCACAUCCUGGGGCUGAAGUAGGUCCCAAGGGUAUGGCUGUUCGCCAUUUAAAGUGGUACGCGAGCUGGGUUUAGAACGUCGUGAGACAGUUCGGUCCCUAUCUGCCGUGGGCGCUGGAGAAUUGAGGGGGGCUGCUCCUAGUACGAGAGGACCGGAGUGGACGCAUCACUGGUGUUCGGGUUGUCAUGCCAAUGGCAUUGCCCGGUAGCUAAAUGCGGAAGAGAUAAGUGCUGAAAGCAUCUAAGCACGAAACUUGCCCCGAGAUGAGUUCUCCCUGAGACUUUAAGUCUCCUGAAGGAACGUUAAAGACGAUGACGUUGAUAGGUCGGGUGUGUAAGCGUAGCGAUACGUUGAGCUAACCGAUACUAAUGAACCGUGAGGCUUAACCUU
Molecule: ribosomal RNA, 2548 nt
Filed under: Klebsiella aerogenes
Lineage: Bacteria; Pseudomonadati; Pseudomonadota; Gammaproteobacteria; Enterobacterales; Enterobacteriaceae
Description: partial 23S ribosomal RNA
Rfam family: Bacterial large subunit ribosomal RNA
Source: RNAcentral